This 369-nucleotide ribosomal RNA is filed under the name uncultured bacterium. RNAcentral describes it as "bacterial SSU rRNA". It matches the Rfam family "Bacterial small subunit ribosomal RNA", at positions 338 to 699 of the family's 1533-position model. The record is from RNAcentral.
CCUACGGGAGGCAGCAGUGGGGAAUUUUGGACAAUGGGCGCAAGCCUGAUCCAGCCAUGCCGCGUGCAGGAUGAAGGCCUUCGGGUUGUAAACUGCUUUUGUACGGAACGAAAAGACUCUGGUUAAUACCUGGGGUCCAUGACGGUACCGUAAGAAUAAGCACCGGCUAACUACGUGCCAGCAGCCGCGGUAAUACGUAGGGUGCGAGCGUUAAUCGGAAUUACUGGGCGUAAAGCGUGCGCAGGCGGUUAUAUAAGACAGAUGUGAAAUCCCCGGGCUCAACCUGGGAACUGCAUUUGUGACUGUAUAGCUAGAGUACGGCAGAGGGGGAUGGAAUUCCGCGUGUAGCAGUGAAAUGCGUAGAUAUGG